UGACUCUAUGAGGUGUAUGGACACUCAUAGUUAUGUUCUAGAUUGCUUAAGUUCCUUGAUGAUGUUAUGUUGUUUUGGUCGAGAUCAUGUGUCGGGAGAAAUAUUGAAUGAAUCAAAACCUUAUGAGAGGAUUUGAUAUGGAAUAUAGUAACCAGAACCGAAUGUUGUCAAACUAAUUUGGUUUAGAUGCACCAAACACAUGAUGAAUUUGGAUGUUCUAUGUUUUUAUGGUUGUAGCAAUGUAACUCCU
RNAcentral lists this long non-coding RNA (250 nucleotides) under Lathyrus oleraceus (garden pea). RNAcentral describes it as "Pisum sativum (pea) long non-coding RNA (PSAT_LNC041413)". The record is from RNAcentral. Lineage: Eukaryota; Viridiplantae; Streptophyta; Magnoliopsida; Fabales; Fabaceae.